GGUAGAUUGGUCAAGCGGUUAAGACGCCGCCCUCUCACGGCGGAAACAGGGGUUCGAUUCCCCUAUCUACUGCUA
RNAcentral lists this transfer RNA (75 nucleotides) under Lachnospiraceae bacterium. RNAcentral describes it as "tRNA-Glu". It matches the Rfam family "tRNA". Rfam says of the family: Transfer RNA (tRNA) molecules are approximately 80 nucleotides in length. Their secondary structure includes four short double-helical elements and three loops (D, anti-codon, and T loops). The record is from RNAcentral. Lineage: Bacteria; Bacillati; Bacillota; Clostridia; Lachnospirales; Lachnospiraceae.